Long non-coding RNA from Sinocyclocheilus grahami, 267 nucleotides. RefSeq lists it as uncharacterized. NCBI's taxonomy places the organism in Eukaryota, Metazoa, Chordata, Actinopteri, Cypriniformes, Cyprinidae. The record is from RefSeq and is a predicted model, not a curated record. The transcript has 3 exons.
GCACGGCAGCGUAUUUGGGCAGAAGUGGCUCUCCGGCACAUUUAUUUCAGAGACCUGGGAGAAAAAGUGCAGGACCUGGCUGACACUACCUCCAUCUUUUCUGUCAAGGAGAUUCGACUUCAGAUGGACCCAGGAAAACACUUUCCAGCUCAAAGAGAGUUGGCGGUGGUCCAUCGAAUGGGAUCUGCGCCACCUGAGCAUUUUCUCCCUGAAGGAGUAAAUCGUCUUCUGCAUCCUGCACCCCUCUCUUCAUAAAUACGCUCGUAU